This 253-nucleotide ribosomal RNA is filed under the name uncultured bacterium. Its description in RNAcentral is "partial 16S ribosomal RNA". It matches the Rfam family "Bacterial small subunit ribosomal RNA", at positions 524 to 776 of the family's 1533-position model. The record is from RNAcentral.
UACGUAGGGGGCAAGCGUUGUCCGGAUUUAUUGGGCGUAAAGAGCGUGUAGGCGGCCAGACAGGUCAGCUGUGAAAACUCGAGGCUCAACCUCGAGACGUCGGUUGAAACCGUCUGGCUAGAGUCCGGAAGAGGAGAGUGGAAUUCCCGGUGUAGCGGUGAAAUGCGCAGAUAUCGGGAAGAACACCCGUGGCGAAGGCGGCUCUCUGGGACGGUACUGACGCUGAUGCACGAAAGCUGGGGGAGCAAACAGG